CUGAAUUGUCAACACGAGUUGUUGCUGGUCCUCAAUGGGGGCAUGUGCACACUCUGUUUACACAUCCACUCACACCUGUGCACCCUCUGUAGUUCUGUGGCUUGGGGGGCUCUGUCCUCCUGCUGUGGUUCUAUAUCUUUACACACGCUCUGUAAUAAAGUCUCAUGGAAUGUAUACCGCGUUUAACGCAAUACAAUA
This 198-nucleotide unclassified non-coding RNA is filed under the name uncultured Thelephoraceae. Its description in RNAcentral is "sequence contains ITS1". Lineage: Eukaryota; Fungi; Basidiomycota; Agaricomycetes; Thelephorales; Thelephoraceae. The record is from RNAcentral.